GUAAGAGCUCGUAGGCGGUUUGUCGCGUCUGCUGUGAAAUCCCGAGGCUCAACCUCGGGCUUGCAGUGGGUACGGGCAGACUAGAGUGCGGUAGGGGAGAUUGGAAUUCCUGGUGUAGCGGUGGAAUGCGCAGAUAUCAGGAGGAACACCGAUGGCGAAGGCAGAUCUCUGGGCCGUAACUGACGCUGAGGAGCGAAAGCAUGGGGAGCGAACAGGAUUAGAUACCCUGGUAGUCCAUGCCGUAAACGUUGGGCGCUAGAUGUAGGGACCUUUCCACGGUUUCUGUGUCGUAACUAACGCAUUAAUCGCCCCGGCUGGGGAGUACGGCCGCAAGGCUAAAACUCAAAGGAAUUGACGGGGGCCCGCACAAGCGGAGGAGCAUGCGGAUUAAUUCGAUGCAACGCGAAGAACCUUACCUAGGGUUGACAUACACCGGAAACGGGCAGAGAUGGACGCCCCCUUGUGGUCGGCGUACAGGUGGUGCAUGGUUGUCGUCAGCUCGUGUCGUGAGAUGUUGGGUUAAGUCCCGCAACGAGCGCAACCCUCGUUCUAUGUUGCCAGCGCGUUAUGGCGGGGACUCAUAGGAGACUGCCGGGGUCAACUCGGAGGAAGGUGGGGAUGACGUCAAAUCAUCAUGCCCCUUAUGUCUUGGGCUUCACGCAUGCUACAAUGGCCGGUACAAAGGGCUGCGAUACCGUAAGGUGGAGCGAAUCCCAAAAAGCCGGUCUCAGUUCGGAUUGACGUCUGCAACUCGACCUCAUGAAGUCUGAGUCGCUAGUAAUCGCAGAUCAGCAACGCUGCGGUGAAUACGUUCCCGGGCCUUGUACACACCGCCCGUCAAGUCAUGAAAGUCGGUACACCCGAAGGCGGUGGCCUAACCCUUGUGGAAGGAGCCGACGAAGGUGGGAUCGGUGAUUAGGACGAAGUCG
RNAcentral lists this ribosomal RNA (929 nucleotides) under Curtobacterium sp. RNAcentral describes it as "bacterial SSU rRNA". It matches the Rfam family "Bacterial small subunit ribosomal RNA", at positions 561 to 1488 of the family's 1533-position model. The record is from RNAcentral. Lineage: Bacteria; Bacillati; Actinomycetota; Actinomycetes; Micrococcales; Microbacteriaceae.